This 5357-nucleotide long non-coding RNA is filed under the name Sus scrofa (pig). RNAcentral describes it as "lncRNA (ENSSSCG00015078810.1)". Lineage: Eukaryota; Metazoa; Chordata; Mammalia; Artiodactyla; Suidae. The record is from RNAcentral.
AGAGCGUGGAGGUGGCGCGGGCGCGGCGGUGGACCUGGGGGUCGUCACUCCUGCAGCUGGCAGCCGCCGCUGGGCGCUUCCUGUCGCAUCUCUCUUGCCCGGCGGGCGCCCAUCCCGCCCCGCCCCGGCCCGUGGACCUGCAAACCGAGUCUCAGAGCGGAUUUGCCCUAGGGGCUUUCACGAGCUUAGCAGAGGGGUUCCCGGCGGGGUUCCCUGGGGUCACGGGGCGCGAUGAGCAGCGAAGAAAGGAGGCGAGGAGCUGCGUUCGGGCUGGGUGCUCUCUGAACGCGAGGAGGCGGGAUGCGCUCGCCGGGGUCCAUGAUGUGCUCGGCGCCCGUCCCUGGGCCCGGGAAUGCGGCCGCUGGGGAACCCGGGCCAGGGAAUUCGCCCGCGAUCUCCGCGGAUCCCAGGACUGCCAGCGCUUUGGCCCUAGAUGGACGGUGGGGAAUGGGGUAGGGGGCUCCGGAACCCCUAACGUGGAUUACUUGGUGCAUAUCGCCCGGGCAUGGAAGACCCACCACCUCGUUUCCACCCGUGGAUUGAUGCCUUCUGCCGAACAGGUCGCUUACCUGGAGGUGGAACCAGAGAUUCGUGGCUGCUGUGGGUAGGUGCUUCUGACGGGGAAAGAAGGACAAGAUGAGAGGCCUGGAAGGAAGGACCGAUACAGGGCUGUUCUUCCUCGCCCACGCUUCCCACCAGGAACUUCUGUGGAGCCAGAGUUUGCCGCCAGAACCCCCACAGGACCUGGGUGAAACAGGACCAUCUCUUAAGAGGCAAGAGCUCUUGAUUUGAUUGAGGAUUCUUAUUUUGGAGAACAAAGCAACUUCCAGAUUUGAGAAGACCUGCAGUUGAAGAAGACACCAUUGUCCCGGAUCCCUUGUUCUUCCUUCGCGUGGGAAAUGUUUCUUGGCGGGUGCCUGGUCUUAAGACUCCCCCACACCGGCCCCGGGGAAGCCAAGGACUUUCUGCCACACCCUUCCUCGCCCCCCACCUCCCACGUCCGCUGUGCCUUUGGACUCGGCAAUUCUUCUUGUUUGCUCCAUUAUCUUCCAGCCGGAUACAGAGUGAAUAGUUAACUACCCACAGGUCAAUGGGGUCUUAAUUUUUGUUCCUGCUCCCUCUACAGAGGCCAGUGUCUGUGUGUUGCUAUGCAAGCGGCCUUGGAAUUGCAUCCCUUCUCAUUGAUUUGGGAUCUGGCCCCCGCAGGUUCCAGAGCAAUGCGGGUCCAGGCAGAAAUUCUUCAGGCUCUCAGGAUGUUGGAGGGGGCGCUGGCCGCGAGCUGGACCAUGAAGGCUGGCGUUCCCCACAUUCAGCUUUCUUGGGUUCGGAUCAUAAGCAGGUGUAGAUCUGGAGAAGCAGAAAAUGAACACAUUUUCUACUGACACCGAUGCACGGUCAGCGGUGAAGACCUUCUCCCAGCUAGCAUUUGGGUUCUGUGUCCAAACGCGGCGCUUCAUGGCAGAGUAUCCAGCCACCAGAGUUGGUGUGUCUUGAGGACCUGAAUUCUUGAGUGUGUGCUGGUGACACAGCCCUCUGACAGUCGAUGGGGCCUCACAAAACACAAGUCCUGCCUUUUCCUUUUCACUCUGUGGCCGUCAUACAUACGGCUAAAAACAUUUCCUAGAGAUCAGUCAUGGUUCAGUCGUGUCCAAAACGCAGAGCCAAAGAUGCAUUUUCUCUUUUCACAGCAAAUGAAUGACUUGCCUUCGGAAAAAGAAUGAAAGCCAGACAUUCUGCAUCUUUCCCGUGUUGUAGAUGAUGCAUUUCGAUGACCACUUUGUGACUUUGGUGUCUUAGAAGGGAAGCAGUGGGGUCCUUGGCAUCUCAGAUUCACCACAAAACAGAUGAGGAGAACUUCUGGCGGAUGGUUUGUGCUUUUGAAAUGGGAGGCUUGUUUGUGGGCUUUUACUUUCCUUCCUUGACCUGCAGACACCUCGUUGCAUUAGAUUCCUUUGGGUUUUAAGAAGCAGAGACUUGCUGAUACUGCUCCGUACGUGCUGGUUUGUUUUGAGUUGCCAUGGACGUAAAGUAGAAAGGAAGCAGCCCGCCGAGGCGCUCUCACCAAGGCCUGCCCAAGAAGCCCAAGUCCUUCCAGAUAGCCAGGGAUAGCAGAACCGAACCACCCUGGCCAUCUUGAUCUUCUGUUUGCACCAGCAUCCACUGUUCCCAGGAUCCUACCAUGGUGAUGAGCUGAGGGUGACUCAGUUGGCCCAGGACUGAGGAGUUUCCUGGGAUGCAGGACUUUUUAGUGCUAAACCUAGGACAGUCCUAAGCAAACUGGAACAACCAGUCACCCUACUGGGUGACUCGAGGACCCUGCCUCUCUUCUACUUUCCCUGCUGUGACUGGCUGAUGCUCUUGAUGGGUCUGGCCAGUCGCCAUUCAAAACUCUUGCGUCAGGCAACUUCAUUGGCCACUGGGCUACCUAUAGAUGGGUGCCCUUGGACCCAGCGCCAACCCAUCUUGACCAAAUUUGUUGUUUCCAGGGUCAUAGGGUUGCAUAAUCUAGAAUAAAAGCCUGGCUGUAAACAACCAGCUGAGACCACUUCCUUCAGAAGACUGCUGUGGACAGGUGGCCCUGGCAGGCAUUCAAGGUAAAAUGAGUGAGUCAGGCCACACGCUUCCCAAAGCCUCUGCCAGCGCUGCCAUCCACAGGGCUGCCAUAUUGGAUGCAGUUCAUGACAAAGGAUUUGCUACUUUUUGUUCUCUCUGGCUCUCCUCCUGCCUUCCCUUCAGCUUGCUCCAAGAUCAUGUGGACACACACCUCAGCAACCUCUGCCCCUCUGACCUCAUCCAAGUCACUGGCCUUGGGAGGCAGCCCAGGUGUUUCGAUUGGGCCAACUGCUGACAUUCCCUGCUGGUGACAACUUCUCCUCGAAGGGGCUUCAAGGGCCAGGGUCCCAGCAUAAUUGGCCUCCAACAGGCAAGUCUUCCAGAAGCUUGCAGCCCCAACAGUGCCUGCUGUGGACGUGGAGGCAGAUCUCAACAGGCCGAUGAGCAGGCAGACCGGGCACCAGCCACAGGGAAGAACCUCAGGCCAGCUGCCAAGUUUCAGCCAGGAGGGAACAUCGCUGGAGUUUAUAACCCUGCACAAGAGGCAGCCGGUAGGGAAAGCUCCACCACGCCCUUAAUACCACCGCAUGACUCGUGAGCACCUUGCUGUUAAUUAACAGCAGUAAAUACCACGGUUAUUUCAUUUUGCCUACCACUCUCUCGGGUAGCAACGUGGGGACACCCAGCCGCGAAGCACAGGGUCUCGUGUAUUAUCUUGACAGCGUUCUGCAGGGCUUGCCAAGUGGGGGCUCCAGCCGUUCGGAUGGCUCGCUCAUCCGGGGGCAAAAGGAGUCCCCUUUUUGCUGCCCACACUCUAGCGCCACACGCAGGGUAUGUGGCCAUGACGUCUCUGGAAAGUUCAAGUUGGAACCUGCUGGGUGUUCUUGAACACUCCAGCAAGUGCUUAUUUGAUAUAAACAAGUCUCCAAUCGUCUGCGGGCCUCUCUGCUUCCUGAGAGGCCUCCCGAAUGAUGGGUGGCUCUCACCCGCGGUUGACAUGUGGUCUUUCCCAGGGCCCACAGCUUGGAAGGUCUCACUCAGGGAGCAGUCCCCACCUUUCCACCAAAACUUUAUCUUCCCCAUGAAGAUGUGUCCUCCUGGGAUGUUCAAACCGGACGUAGCCCGUAGCAGUCUUUUUGCAUUUUUUUUAAAAUUCCCCAAAACCCUGUAUCGAGGACUUCUUCAUGCCAGACACUGGAGAGAGAAAGAUAGACGGGAAGGGAUCCUGGCCUUGAGGAACUCAUGGUCGAGCAAAGUAGAUGGAUGAGUAACAAGUUCAACCGCAAUGUUCCAACAUACAUGCCGUGACAGCCGAGGUUCGGGGUGCUACAGUCAUCCAUGGGGAAAGCACCCUUCUAGGGGGUGAGAGAUGAAAUGAAAUUUAAGUGUUGAAGGCUGAAGAGGAGUUUUACGGGGAAGAGUGCCAAGUGCACCGCCAAGUACAAAGAUCUCAAGGUAUAGGAGAGCCACGCAUGUUCCCUGGAGGGAGCUCAAGUUCAUGGUCAUUGCUUAUCUCAGAGGGGUCGCAUCUCGUGAACGUCUCUGAUGUUCUGAUUCUUGCUUCCCUGCACAUUUUCAGCACAUGCUGGUGUCUUUGUGUUAGCAGGCUAGGCCUGCUUAAAACAUCACACCGCAACAAGGUUGAGCUUCUUUUAUGUUUUGUUUCCUCCUUCUCCUCGCCUCCAAAUAUGGGGCUCAAUCUCCAGUCGUUUCAGAUAUGUAGCCUUUAAAGGUAGGGUUCAAAUCCUUCCCUUUCAUAAUUUACCCCGAUUCCCCCUUGUCAACUGAGGCCUGGAAACUGGGAAGUAAAGGAGAUCCAUUGCCUUUUCUCCAGCUCACAAGUCAUUUCCCUCCAUCCAUCCUUUGCAGGACAAUUGUCUAGGCGGCCCAGCGGAUGUGUCUCCUAUUUUGUGGGUCUCCAAUGAUAACCAUUGCCUUAUGGCUCAUCUCCACGUCCUGUGGGCACUGUGGGUACCCUCAGUGAGAUCCACAUGACAGGCAUGAGGGAGGAUGGGGACAUUUCCUGGUACAACGAGCCUUUGGGUUGCUGAAGUUCCAUGAAGUGUGGAAUUCAUCCAUAGUCAUUCUCUCACUCACCCACUGGGAACCAAUCAAAGGGCCAGGUGCUGGGGUUGCCACACUGGACCAAGCAAAUGGUACCUGCCUCUGUGAACCUUACACUCACAGUAUCCUGAUUCAGAGUGCUCCUGUGGUGGCGCCUAGUGAAGCUCAGAUCUGGGGAUCUGGGUGCCCUAGUACCCAGCCACCUUCCAAGAAGGGCACUGCCCAUGGGAAAAUGGCCUAUCCCUUUUGGGAUGGGACCAAGAAACCACCAUGAACAUGGAGCAGCCACAGCUCCCAGCAAGGGUCAAGGUAGCCCCUGAAACAUCACACGGAUGUUGAGAAGAAGAUGCUCUGGGGUGAGAGCGGGGUGGCUGGUGCUUUGGACGUUCAGCUUUAGAGUGAGUAUUUCAUUUAUGCAAGAGAUGUGAAAAUCUGAGAAGCAUCUGGUUCCUCCAUGGAGAAAAAGCAUUUCACAUGUCUAAACUCAGUCUCCUUCACCCACUGGCUUUGAAAGUGCAGACGUCUAAGCCCUGAUCGUCGUUUCUGGAAAGGAGCACGUGAUGUGAACAAGCAUCUCUCUAGCAGACUGGCAGACCCCGUCCAGGCUGGGGCUCCGAGCCUGUGGCUGUUGCCUCCAGUGUCUGCCCCAGAACAAGCCCCUCUACUCGGGCAGGGGUGUCUGUCUGUUUCGCUCCUGCCACACCCCCAGUGCCCAGCAUGGUGCCUGCGACGUCGUGAGG